RNAcentral lists this transfer RNA (71 nucleotides) under Rasbora jacobsoni. Its description in RNAcentral is "tRNA-Val". It matches the Rfam family "tRNA". From Rfam's summary of the family: Transfer RNA (tRNA) molecules are approximately 80 nucleotides in length. Their secondary structure includes four short double-helical elements and three loops (D, anti-codon, and T loops). The record is from RNAcentral. Lineage: Eukaryota; Metazoa; Chordata; Actinopteri; Cypriniformes; Danionidae.
CAGAGUGUAGCUAAGCAGCCCAGCGCCCCUCUUACACCGUGAAGAUAUCCGUGCAAAUCGGAUCACUCUGA